RNAcentral lists this ribosomal RNA (253 nucleotides) under uncultured bacterium. Its description in RNAcentral is "partial 16S ribosomal RNA". It matches the Rfam family "Bacterial small subunit ribosomal RNA", at positions 524 to 776 of the family's 1533-position model. The record is from RNAcentral.
UACAGAGGUCCCAAGCGUUGUUCGGAUUCAUUGGGCGUAAAGGGUGCGUAGGCGGCAGGGUAAGUUGGAUGUGAAAUCCCGGGGCUCAACCCCGGAACUGCAUUCAAUACUGCCCUGCUAGAGUACUGGAGAGGAGAUUGGAAUUCAUGGUGUAGCAGUGAAAUGCGUAGAUAUCAUGAGGAAGACCAGUGGCGAAGGCGGAUCUCUGGACAGUUACUGACACUGAGGCACGAAGGCCAGGGGAGCAAACGGG